GUGGGGAAUCUUAGACAAUGGGCGCAAGCCUGAUCUAGCCAUGCCGCGUGAGCGAUGAAGGCCUUAGGGUUGUAAAGCUCUUUCGUGGGGGAAGAUAAUGACUGUACCCCAAGAAGAAGCCCCGGCUAACUCCGUGCCAGCAGCCGCGGUAAUACGGAGGGGGCUAGCGUUGUUCGGAAUUACUGGGCGUAAAGCGCACGUAGGCGGACCAGAAAGUCAGAGGUGAAAGCCCGGAGCUCAACCCCGGAACUGCCUUUGAAACUCCUGGUCUUGAGGUCGAGAGAGGUGGGUGGAAUUCCGAGUGUAGAGGUGAAAUUCGUAGAUAUUCGGAGGAACACCAGUGGCGAAGGCGGCCCACUGGCUCGAUACUGACGCUGAGGUGCGAAAGCGUGGGGAGCAAACAGGAUUAGAUACCCCGGUAGUCC
This 425-nucleotide ribosomal RNA is filed under the name uncultured bacterium. RNAcentral describes it as "partial 16S ribosomal RNA". It matches the Rfam family "Bacterial small subunit ribosomal RNA", at positions 354 to 796 of the family's 1533-position model. The record is from RNAcentral.